Molecule: ribosomal RNA, 413 nt
Filed under: uncultured marine eukaryote
Lineage: Eukaryota
Description: SSU rRNA
Rfam family: Eukaryotic small subunit ribosomal RNA
Source: RNAcentral
GUUAAAAAGCUCGUAGUUGGAUUCUGGCGGGGACCCAAGUACCCCUGGUGGGUGUGCUCGGGCCCGGCCAUCCUUCUGUAAACUUUCGCGCGUCCUUCACCGGUCGGCAAAGGGAUCAGAUAAUUUACCUUGAGAAAAUUAGAGUGUUUCAGGCAGGCUUAGCCGGAAUACAUUAGCAUGGAAUAAUGGAAUAGGACUGAGGUCUCGUUGUUGGUUACGCGGACUACAGUAAUGAUUAAUAGGGACAGUUGGGGGCAUUAGUAUUUAUUAGCUAGAGGUGGAAUUCUCUAAUUUGAUAAAGACUAACUUAUGCGAAAGCAUUUGCCAAGGAUGUUUUCAUUAAUCAAAGAACGAAAGUUAGGGGAUCAAGACGAUCAGAUACCGUCCUAGUCUUUACCGACUCGGGAUCGGGA